Molecule: small nuclear RNA, 187 nt
Organism: Etheostoma spectabile (orangethroat darter)
Lineage: Eukaryota; Metazoa; Chordata; Actinopteri; Perciformes; Percidae
Product: U2 spliceosomal RNA
Exons: 1
Source: RefSeq, a predicted model, not a curated record
CUCGCUUCUCUGCCCUUUUGACUAGAUCAGUAGUAUCUGUUCUUUUUGUCCCUUUAACAUCUGAUAUUCCUCUACCAAGCGACAAACAUAUUAAAUGAUUUUUAGCAAUGGAGUUGAAAAAAGGGGCUUGCGCCAGUCACCCGACGCAUUGCCCCGGUAUUGCAAGCAUUGCCGGAACAGAAAUGGU